UAGUCCACGCUGUAAACGAUGUCUACUUGGAGGUUGUUGUCUUGAAUGAUGGCUUUCGGAGCUAACGCGUUAAGUAGACCGCCUGGGGAGUACGGCCGCAAGGUUAAAACUCAAAUGAAUUGACGGGGGCCCGCACAAGCGGUGGAGCAUGUGGUUUAAUUCGAUGCAACGCGAAGAACCUUACCUACUCUUGACAUCUAGAGAAGCUUGCAGAGAUGCGAGUGUGCCUUCGGGAACUCUAAGACAGGUGCUGCAUGGCUGUCGUCAGCUCGUGUUGUGAAAUGUUGGGUUAAGUCCCGCAACGAGCGCAACCCUUAUCCUUGUUUGCCAGCGAGUAAUGUCGGGAACUCCAGGGAGACUGCCGGUGAUAAACCGGAGGAAGGUGGGACGACGUCAAGUCAUCAUGGCCCUUACGAGUAGGGCUACACACGUGCUACAAUGGCGCAUACAGAGGGCAGCAAGCUAGCGAUAGUGAGCGAAUCCCAAAAAGCCGGCCUC
This 498-nucleotide ribosomal RNA is filed under the name uncultured bacterium. Its description in RNAcentral is "bacterial SSU rRNA". It matches the Rfam family "Bacterial small subunit ribosomal RNA", at positions 791 to 1289 of the family's 1533-position model. The record is from RNAcentral.